GUGGCUCAGUUGGUAGAGUGCUUGCUUAGCAUGCAAGAAGCCCUGGGUUCGAUUCUCAGC
Molecule: transfer RNA, 60 nt
Filed under: Cricetulus griseus (Chinese hamster)
Lineage: Eukaryota; Metazoa; Chordata; Mammalia; Rodentia; Cricetidae
Rfam family: tRNA
About the family: Transfer RNA (tRNA) molecules are approximately 80 nucleotides in length. Their secondary structure includes four short double-helical elements and three loops (D, anti-codon, and T loops).
Source: Rfam by way of RNAcentral